This 601-nucleotide ribosomal RNA is filed under the name Bacillus cereus. RNAcentral describes it as "bacterial SSU rRNA". It matches the Rfam family "Bacterial small subunit ribosomal RNA", at positions 35 to 616 of the family's 1533-position model. Lineage: Bacteria; Bacillati; Bacillota; Bacilli; Caryophanales; Bacillaceae. The record is from RNAcentral.
GCUGGCGGCGUGCCUAAUACAUGCAAGUCGCAGCGAAUGGAUUGAGAGCUUGCUCUCAAGAAGUUAGCGGCGGACGGGUGAGUAACACGUGGGUAACCUGCCCAUAAGACUGGGAUAACUCCGGGAAACCGGGGCUAAUACCGGAUAACAUUUUGAACUGCAUGGUUCGAAAUUGAAAGGCGGCUUCGGCUGUCACUUAUGGAUGGACCCGCGUCGCAUUAGCUAGUUGGUGAGGUAACGGCUCACCAAGGCAACGAUGCGUAGCCGACCUGAGAGGGUGAUCGGCCACACUGGGACUGAGACACGGCCCAGACUCCUACGGGAGGCAGCAGUAGGGAAUCUUCCGCAAUGGACGAAAGUCUGACGGAGCAACGCCGCGUGAGUGAUGAAGGCUUUCGGGUCGUAAAACUCUGUUGUUAGGGAAGAACAAGUGCUAGUUGAAUAAGCUGGCACCUUGACGGUACCUAACCAGAAAGCCACGGCUAACUACGUGCCAGCAGCCGCGGUAAUACGUAGGUGGCAAGCGUUAUCCGGAAUUAUUGGGGCGUAAAGCGCGCGCAGGGGGUCCUAAGUCGGAAUGAAAAGCCACGGGUCACACCGC